Molecule: non-coding RNA, 135 nt
Organism: Triticum aestivum (bread wheat)
Lineage: Eukaryota; Viridiplantae; Streptophyta; Magnoliopsida; Poales; Poaceae
Source: Rfam
UUUCUACUCCCUCCAUCCGAAAAUACUUGUCAUCAAAAUGGAUAAAAAGAGAUGUAUCUAAAACUAAAAUACGUCUAGAUACAUUUCCUUUUAUCCAUUUUGAUGACAAGUAUUUCCGGACGGAGGGAGUAUUUG